Molecule: long non-coding RNA, 483 nt
Organism: Triplophysa rosa
Lineage: Eukaryota; Metazoa; Chordata; Actinopteri; Cypriniformes; Nemacheilidae
Exons: 2
Source: RefSeq, a predicted model, not a curated record
CCACAACCACCAGGGUUGGGAACACAGUUCCAGGAGGGUUUGCCGGCAUCAGGAUCGAGUUUGUCAGCGCGAGCUCCGCGCACCCGAGCAAAGCUUGAGGUGAAAGAUAAUUCCUUCCAUGUUCUCAACUUCAACCGCAUGCCGUAACUUUCCAAAAGCUCGACACCCCUUGCAUGGGCUUUCACUUCUACACAGCGGGAACAACAAGACAGAAAAACGUCAACGCAACAGUUAAUCCUCUGCGGGGUAGAGCUAUUUCACUUGAGGAGCAUAAAUUCUAUUAAGAAAGAUUGUACACUGUUAAUAAUCCUGAUAAUUGUGAAACUGCGGGACAAUUAUGUGUUAUUAUCUUAUUUCUGUACUAAAAGUGCUGUGCUGAAGCAAAAUUAAUUUAUUACAGAACGUUAUGUUUGUUAACAAAAAAACAGCUCAUGGCACACCCCAAAAUGAUAUAAAAGUGAACAUAAACACACACCCACACCA